This is a long non-coding RNA of Parambassis ranga (Indian glassy fish), 1132 nucleotides long. Lineage: Eukaryota; Metazoa; Chordata; Actinopteri; Ambassidae. The record is from Ensembl.
CUAAAAUUUGAUGUAAUCUUUAUUACACUAUUGCAUUUUAAAUUUUUUUCUGGGCUCAAAAUCUUCUAUUUUGCUUUCAGUUACCCCUCCAAUGCUGACAAACUGAUGUUGGCUAAAAGCAUAACAACAAUCUUCCCAUCAUUAAAGAUCAAGAUACAAGAGGCGAAUGAAGGAUUUGAGCACUUUUAUGAUCCAGUGUCCCACUGUGGAUUCAUUGAGUUGAAACUGAGGAACCUGCGGAGAAACCUUCAUGAAGAUCAGAGACGCUAUCGCAAACGCGGAAAGUCCAGUGAGGCUUCUGGAGUAGCUAUAACAUUACAAGCAAUUUCAGAAGGGGAAGAAGAGUCCGCCAAGGAUUGGAUAACAGCUACCAAAAGGAUCAGACCAUCUCCUGAGAACCUCACAUCUAUCAAAAUGGGCAUGCAGAAAACCUUUAACAACCGCAGGUUCUGGAUCUCAAGCCAGUCACCAACAGUAGAAGAGAUUCUCCAGGAGUACCCUCGCUUUGUAGACAUGCCAUAUUUGAUUGAUGCAGAGUUUGCGAGAAUGUUUCCGGGCAAGGAAGACCUCUUCCUCCGGAAAUGGGAAGGGCAUAUUGUUCCGAAACUCCUGAAAGUGGCUACACUUGAAAAUGAAAAUGACCCUAGUGAGCCGUCAGUUGGUGAGGAGAUUGAUGAGUCACGUUGUUUCAGAGCCCUAAAGUUACUCACCCGUUAUCUACCUCCGACUGCAUCAGGGAGGAGCAAAGGAUGGACAAAAUGCAGUGUCAAAUCAGCCCUGUCCUACAUCUUGGAAGUGAAACCGACUGGAACGAGUAUCCCCAGCCUUCUACAAGGAUCGUUAGAAGCCGCAGCCGGAGCAGCAGGAGUCCACCAGCCCAAGCUUGUGUGUAUAGGACAUCCCAGUACAACAGCUCAGUACAUAAUUGUGGCAAGGAAUGACAAAGUCGCCAUUCCACUUCAAGAUGAAGGGUUGACAUGCGCCCUGGACAAGCUGUUCAAAAUGUUGUGGGUUUGCAACGUAGCCUAUCCUGUCCAACUUGAGUCAGUGUAUUCUUUUUUUGAGCAUGUUUAUGACAUGCCAAUCUCAGGUGCAAAGAGGUCAAAGGUUUUGGAGUUAAUUGCCAAGCUUC